Salvia miltiorrhiza (redroot sage) is the source of this 904-nucleotide long non-coding RNA. RefSeq lists it as uncharacterized. NCBI's taxonomy places the organism in Eukaryota, Viridiplantae, Streptophyta, Magnoliopsida, Lamiales, Lamiaceae. The transcript is spliced from 2 exons. The record is from RefSeq and is a predicted model, not a curated record.
GCAGUUACAACCAUUUCAUACAAAUUAUAUCAUUCUUUUUGCAUUCAUUUUGCACCACUUUUCUCAACGUUCAGGCUUCUUCUAAUUCUCCACAACUCUUACUACUUCAAAGAUGCUUCCUUUUUUUGGUUUGAUCAAGGAUUUGGAGUUGGAAAAUAGCAAAAUAGCAUUACAACUAAGGUUGCUUUGUAGCUAUGACAUUCCAUAUUAUAACAACAAGAAUGAAGUUUUCAGCCACGAGUGCAUUAUUCAUGACAAAGAGGAUAAUCGAAUCCAUGCAACAAUUCCACAAAAUGCACUAUCAACAAUGAAGCCCAAACUUCAACAAAGGAAAUGUGUAUGCAAUGAUGAAUUUUAUUGGUGUCCAUGACAGAAGAAACAGAAGGCCGGAGCGUGAAUGCUUUUCUAAUUUUAUUGUAUUAUGAUCCUAAAUGAUUUUCUAAUUUUGUUGUAUUCUGAUCCUAGGCUUUGCGUUACCUAUCAGACUUGUAUUUUACAUCUAUCUUAUGUGAAAAUACUUGAUUUGCUCGAAUUUGGUCUUAUAUUCUCUCAAAGGUUUUGUUAGGAAAUGGGGAAUUAUGUAGAAGUAAAUUUGUUUUCGAACCUUUCUCAACCAAGAGAAACCGGAGGAGAUCAGUCAGCAUAUCUACGACUUCAUUAAGAGGUUUUGUUCUCUUUCUAUAUUCUGAGGCCAUAUUUAGUUGUGUUGUUGCUCACUAAUGUAGCUGUAAGCUAGGAUGUUGUUGUUGUUUCAGGCUUGAAGUUGCAUUUCAAAUCAACACUUUUAUCAAACAAUGUUUAUGUACCAAUAAUGAUUUACGUCUUUGUUGGUAUAGUUUGUUGCUUUUCUUGAAAAUAAACUCACACAUGUAUAGACUGCUGUUAGAAGUAGCCUCUACUGAAU